This is a long non-coding RNA of Lolium rigidum, 2337 nucleotides long. RefSeq lists it as uncharacterized. The record is from RefSeq and is a predicted model, not a curated record. The transcript has 2 exons. Lineage: Eukaryota; Viridiplantae; Streptophyta; Magnoliopsida; Poales; Poaceae.
CAUGAAAAAUAAACACUUUUUGCUUGUAUCUGUUUGUUUUCUAUGGGCACACUUGCAUUGUUUGAUUCAAUAAAGUCGUCUCCUUUUUGAGCUUGCAGAUAGUUGGCAUCUAGUUAAAUUAUGGGAAUAGCCAAAAGAUCACUUUAGUUAAAGUGUUAUUUUGGUAUAUCAUUAGUAUGGCUUGAUGUAUGGAUGUGUGUUGUCUUGGGAAUUCCACGCUUUUAAGAAACUUGUAGUGAAAUGGCGUCCUAAGAAUGGAUAUGGUCUUAGGCCAAUUUGGCGCUGAAUAUUUACUUAUGUCUGACAGAAAUUAGUAACGCAUGAGCGUAAAAUGGGUACUUUUCUUAAUUUGUCAAGAGCUGUUGUCCGACAGAUAUCCAUGUCAUUAGUACUUAUUCUAAUGUAAAGUUCACUCGAAAAGGUAAUCAUCGAAGGCAUGGCAAGGUGGCAGAAUGGCAGUUAGCUUCAUGGGCUCUGCUCAAUCAGGAUCUUGUAGAGAAGCCAGGACGCAAGAAUCCAGACACAGCACAUCACCCUCUAGGAAACAGUAUCUUAAGGCUUCUUGAGUAGCAGCGCUGAGAAUUGUCUGGGCUGUGGGAAGACUAGCGGCAGCCUAAUCUUGUGGAAGUUGGGCUCCAGGACCGUCCAGGUAAGGUGGAGUUAGCUUGCAUUGGAGUGGGGGGCACCGGGUGAUACAAAGUUUGCAUGGGAUCCAAGGACACCGACAGAAUUACUCCCUUCGGCCCUAUAAGAAUACAUGGAAUGUGUGAUCAGUUAGAGAAGGCUGCUGCAUCCUGAUGUGGGAAUACACUCGCAGAUGCAUGACUGCAGUUGCCACUGAGAAGAACUUGAGCACUAUGGUCUAGGAAUAUCCAUGCCUUCCCUUUGAUGAUUAGCUUUUUGGGUGGGGGAAUAUUAUUACCAGAACCAUCUAUAUGUGUCAAACAAAAAAAAUCAUAGUCUAGGGUCGCUAAUAGCUAAGGUCUGUGGACAUUUUAUGCACAUGAAACCCUCUUUGAAAUGAUGGUAGGUGCAGGAUUAUUGAUGACUAGUGUGUGAUAUCAUUAUGCUGCUGUCUAAUGUACUUUACUCUAAUAUAGAAAUAUUCUUUUGACAUAUGCAUAAUGUCCUUAGCUAGUCAAUGUGGGGCCUAACAGAAAAGACAGAUAUUAUCUUAUUACAUGAUUGACUGAGAUAAAUUUACCUCAACAGGGUUUUCCUUAUCAUUAUUAAUUUUUUGGCUCUGUUCACGUUCAGUUCUUUUGCCUUCAACCCCUGUAAGGCUGUAACAGCUUUUGCAUAGAGUACUAGAUUACACCAUUGCAUGCUGAGAUCGAUUCGUGGUGGCCUGAUGCUUCAAGACGUUUUGCGGUGGCCAAUCAUGAAAAGGUUAAUUCCUUAAUCAUGCUGAGCCUUUGACUGGAGAUAAAUUAUUGCAUCUUCGAAGACAAGCGCGCUCCUGCUAGCUCUGUUUUGAGCAUGCCCCUUGAUGAGGGGCACGCGUGGGUGGCUUGUAGAGGUGGGCAGCCGAGAGCAAUAGAGUAGCCCUGGCUUGUCUUUGAGCCCCCAAAGUGGUGGCGUUUUGGGUGGUCUUUUUUCAGGUUCUGCAUUGACCUCUUUUCUCUCUUUUUUCUUGUUCUGUUGUCGUUUUGUUUUGGACAUCUUGGUCCUGCCUUUGAGCUGAAUACAAUGACGUGCAGCUCUCCUACGGGUUCUAAAGAAAAAAGUACUAGAUUACACAUGCAUUGUAUGUAUAUAUAACGUUGCCAAUCUUCAGUUUAACCCGUUUUUCUACAGGGGAGAACACCAUCUGAAUCAGAUUGGAUGGAUAAGCCAGAGCAGGAGUGCUCUUCGCGAGCCAAAAUGAGUUUUGUCCCUAGAACAUGUGGUACCUUAUUUGCUUCUUGUGGGCAAUGAUUUUUGUUCCAUGAUGUAAGAAUCCCCAAAGAUGACAGCUGUGGCUACGUGGGAUUAUACAAUCUGAGAUGUUGACCAUGCGAUUACAUCCCAUUUAAGCAGUGAGGUUUAAGCUCUGCCAACCAGCAUCGAUGACAUACAAAGUGAUCUGUUGAAGCUACAAUAAAUAUGCUCCCGUCAUCAUAGAUAAUUGUUUCACCAUAUGCAGCAUCCUCAUUUGGGCCUCUUUGUUUAGAAAGAUUUCUGUUUUACUUUUGGAGGCUUGGAAUCCUUAUGAAUCUUUUCUACUACUAGCUCCAUUCCGAUUUAAUGACUGCGAGUAGUAGCACACUAGCACCACAAGUGAGUAUGUACGCAAGUUGUUUCCACUGAAUGGCGUUUGAUUUAAAUCGGAACAGACAAUAGAGGUACUAUUUGUUA